GAAAUGCGAUAAGUAAUGUGAAUUGCAGAAUUCAGUGAAUCAUCGAAUCUUUGAACGCACCUUGCGCUCCUUGGUAUUCCUUGGAGCAUGCCUGUUUGAGUAUCAUGAAAUCUUCAAAGUAAAUCUUUUGUUAACUCAAUUGGUUUCUACUUUGGUAUUGGAGGUCUUUGCAGCUUCACACCUGCUCCUCUUUGUUCAUUAGCUGGAUCUCAGUGUUAUGCUUGGUUCCACUCGGCGUGAUAAGUUAUCUAUCGCUGAGGACACUGUAAAAGGUGGCCAAGGUAAAUGCAGAUGAACCGCUUCUAAUAGUCCAUAGACAUGGACAAUACUUUUAUGAUCUGAUCUCAAAUCAGGUAGGACUACCCGCUGAACUUAAGC
RNAcentral lists this unclassified non-coding RNA (378 nucleotides) under plant metagenome. Its description in RNAcentral is "partial contains 5.8S ribosomal RNA, internal transcribed spacer 2, and large subunit ribosomal RNA". The stretch from base 1 to 105 matches the Rfam family "5.8S ribosomal RNA", at positions 50 to 154 of the family's 154-position model. The record is from RNAcentral.